AACGAACGCUGGCGGCAUGCCUAACACAUGCAAGUCGAACGAACCCUUCGGGGUUAGUGGCGCACGGGUGCGUAACGCGUGGGAAUCUGCCCUUUGCUUCGGAAUAACAGUUAGAAAUGACUGCUAAUACCGGAUAAUGUCGCAAGACCAAAGAUUUAUCGGCAAAGGAUGAGCCCGCGUAAGAUUAGCUAGUUGGUGGGGUAAUGGCCUACCAAGGCGACGAUCUUUAGCUGGUCUGAGAGGAUGAUCAGCCACACUGGGACUGAGACACGGCCCAGACUCCUACGGGAGGCAGCAGUGGGGAAUAUUGGACAAUGGGCGAAAGCCUGAUCCGGCAAUGCCGCGUGAGUGAUGAAGGCCUUAGGGUUGUAAAGCUCUUUUACCAGGGAUGAUAAUGACAGUACCUGGAGAAUAAGCUCCGGCUAACUCCGUGCCAGCAGCCG
This 443-nucleotide ribosomal RNA is filed under the name uncultured bacterium. RNAcentral describes it as "bacterial SSU rRNA". It matches the Rfam family "Bacterial small subunit ribosomal RNA", at positions 29 to 517 of the family's 1533-position model. The record is from RNAcentral.